RNAcentral lists this ribosomal RNA (228 nucleotides) under uncultured bacterium. RNAcentral describes it as "partial 16S ribosomal RNA". It matches the Rfam family "Bacterial small subunit ribosomal RNA", at positions 568 to 795 of the family's 1533-position model. The record is from RNAcentral.
UGCGUAGGCGGACUAAUAAGUCAGUGGUGAAAUCUUUCGGCUUAACCGAGAAACUGCCAUUGAAACUGUUAGCCUUGAGUUCGGUUGAGGUAGGCGGAAUGUGUAAUGUAGCGGUGAAAUGCUUAGAUAUUACACAGAACACCAAUUGCGUAGGCAGCUUACUAGACCGAAGCUGACGCUGAGGCACGAAAGCGUGGGUAGCGAACAGGAUUAGAUACCCUGGUAGUC